Molecule: small nucleolar RNA, 217 nt
Organism: Fundulus heteroclitus (mummichog)
Lineage: Eukaryota; Metazoa; Chordata; Actinopteri; Cyprinodontiformes; Fundulidae
Source: Ensembl
AAGACUAUACUUUCAGGGAUCAUUUCUAUAGUUUCUGACUUGAGAAAUGUGUUUCUAAGUUGUAUGGUCUCGCUAACCACGAUGAAGAGGUACUGAUACUCCAACCUGAGCGCGAAGCGGGAGCAGAGAAAUGACUUCGGUCAUAUGCUCUGCUUUAUUGAUGACCGUUCACUGUCUUCUCGGAGACAGCGAGGGUUGGAGUAUGAUCAGAGUGGUA